RNAcentral lists this unclassified non-coding RNA (216 nucleotides) under Hevea brasiliensis (rubber tree). Lineage: Eukaryota; Viridiplantae; Streptophyta; Magnoliopsida; Malpighiales; Euphorbiaceae. The record is from RNAcentral.
GAAGCAGGGAAGCAGAAAUUGAUAUGGGUCAUACCAUAUUAAAUAGACUUGAAAAAGUAUGCUUGUUGGAAAGUGUUGUGGAACAGGGAGGCAGAUGUGUGAAGAUGCAUGACUUGGUUCGAGAUAUGGCCAUCCAAAUAAUGAAAGUGGAUCCAAGAGUGAUGGUUAAAGCAGGUAAACAGCUGUUUGAAAUGCCAAAUUGGAGGAAUUGGGCAG